This 2745-nucleotide long non-coding RNA is filed under the name Sus scrofa (pig). RNAcentral's name for it is "lncRNA (ENSSSCG00000063312.1)". Lineage: Eukaryota; Metazoa; Chordata; Mammalia; Artiodactyla; Suidae. The record is from RNAcentral.
AAAAGCUAUAUCAUCUAUAUGAACGAACAUAGUUAUGUAUGAAAAUGCAUUUUAAAGGGUCUGGAAGAAUUAUUUAAGACCAGUGACAGUGUCUGCCUACAGAGAGAGGAUUGGGAUUGGGAGUAGUGAAGCUGUGAAUAAUUUGUUUAGCUUUCUACUCCUUCUACCCUUCUGUAUUUUUCAGUAUUUUUUAUAGAGGAAAUACAUGGAUAUUUUUUAAGGAGUGAGAAAUGGCUGGACAAUCCUAACUAGCAUGCUCCCACCUUUAAUUCUUACUCUGCCAGAAGAGGUACGGUCCAUUUAAAAUGAGGAAAUCUCCGAUUAAAAACUCCCACAGGGACAGAAGUUCCUGUUGUGGCCAAUCGACAUGACUUCACUGAACUCGGAGUUGAAAGGGCUGUACACAACCAGUUCUCAUGAGCCAAGAUAAGUGAGCCCAGUGUACCACUAAACAGCAGACUUGGGCUCAGCUAAGCCAGAGAGAGUUCGAAGAGGGUUCCGAGAAGUUGACAUAAGUUCAACCAAGAGCUUUCAGUGUAGAGGUAUCAUCAGUGGACAUUGUCUUGCAUUAUACCCUUUACCUUUAAAAAUCUCCAAGUUGGGGAGUUCCCAUCACGGCUUAUCGGAAAUGAAUCUGACUAGCAUCCAUGAGGAUGCAGUUUCGAUCCCUGGCCUUGCUCAGUGGAUUAAGGAUCCGGCGUUGUGCCGUGAGCUGUGGUAUAGGCUGCAGACGAAGCUUGGAUCCUGCAUUGCUGUGGCUGUGGUGUAGGCCAGCAGCUGUAGCUCUGAUUUGGCCUAGCUGGGAACUUCAAUUUGCUGUAGGCGUGGCCCUAAAAAGACAAAAAAAUAAGUGAGUAAAUAAAAUAAAAUCUCCAUGUUGGAUUCAAAAUGUACAUUAGUGUUUAAGUUCUAGAAAAGCAAGUAUGAACAUGAAUGUGAAAGUACCUGAUAACCAUUCAAAUACCAAGGAUGAUAGGAGGAAAUAUAGGCCAGGUUACUCGGUUGAGACUAAUUCCUGUGUUGUUCCUUUUUUUUCUUUUUGAUUAGAAAAAAAUUUUUUUUCUGUUAUUUUGACUGUUUCAGUUAGGAGUUUUAAAACUGCUCAGCACUGUUAUAUCCUGAAUCAAGACACACACACACACACACACACACACACACACACACACACACACACGCAGUGAUAUUGGACAUGUACAGGGGUAUCAGGACUGUAGAGUUUUAGUGUAGAAACUCUUCUUACUUCCGUCCCUCUGGUGAGGAACUAGGACUUUGGAAUCAGUCAGACCUCAAUUCAGAUCCCACCUCUGCCACUUACAGUCCAUGUGAUGGGAGAAAGGACUUAGCUUCUACAAGCUCCAGUUUCCUGGUUUGCAAAAUGGUGGUAAUGUUAGAACUUAAUUCAAGGCACUAAACACUAGACACUUAACACAAAGGGCAGUUAUGAGGAUUAACAUAUUUAAUGCAAUACCUGGCAUUUAAUAAUAAUAAACCCUGAUUAAACAAUAAAUAAGCUGUGGUACCAACACCUUGAUCUGGGAGUUUAGAAUCCUGAAGGCCAAGCAACUCAGUUCCCAGAGUCUAGCCACCAAGACCUGUUUAUCAGGUCUGACUGCAGGGAAGAGGGGAAGUCAAGAGCAUGUACCCCAGGUGCUCUGCUGCAUGGUCCUUGAACUGGGGGAACACCUGCCACCUCUCUGUUUUGUUUGAAUUCUGCUUCCCCCCAGGGAUUUCUAGGCCUGAACUCACCCAUGGUUUAUUCACCCCUGACCAAAGCAAAUGUCAAUGUUGAGCAGAAGUGACAAUGUGAAAGAUUUAAGACGGAAAAUGAGAGCAUCUUUUUAAAAAGCCAGUGGAGCUGUCUGUCCGACUGUCUCUGGAAGCCAGGCUUUGCCAAGCGUGUGUGUGGGGGAAUCGCACUAAUGCCGAGGACCAGGGUCUCUGCUGCGCACACAGGGGUGGUGAGUACAGCUGCCCAGUUCACCCAGGACUUUGACUGAGCCCAUCUGAUUCUGGGGAAAAAAAGCCAGACUUCUUAAAGGUUAGUCUGUUCAACAGGGGGGACCUCAGGGCUUUCUGUAUGCUCAGCAAAGAGACCUUGUAGUGACGUCCUCUCCAUCCUGGGUUCUGGUGGUGCCAUCACUUGUCAUGUUGUCCUGAGGCACACAGAUGUUGGGGCUCCUGGCUUGACACAUUGCGAGGGAACUGGCACCAAAGAUGAGAUGUCCUUGAUCAUGGACUCCAUAAAAUCCUUUCCCAACCAUCUCAGUGCAGAAGGUAGAACUCCACCUCCUGGGAGGCCUCAGGGAGAGAGGCAGUUGUCAGUGAACUCAUACUCAUCAACUGCUCAGUGAAUCUGACCGACAAGAUGAUAUUCACAAAGUGACAUCAUGUGUGAUAGAAUUAAAUGACUGAGAAGAAAAUGAAAGCCACUUUACAAUAAUUUCUGGCGUUGCCGUCAGUAUUAAAACUGUCGAGGUCCAGAGAAGGAACUGCAGGCUGUACCAUCUUUAACCAGAGGACCAGUGCUUAGCACUUAGGAUACAAAAAUACCAUUUCCUCCUGUGGAUUCCUCGUUGCAGCAAGAUGAUAAGGAAAUGCUAGAGGAUCUUUCCACUUCACUUCUGGCUGAGCCCUUCCUCUCUGUGAAACAUAUUAGAUCUACCUUGAUUUUUUUUUUAAUUCCAUCUUCAACUAAUACAGUUUCCUGGAAAGGAAAAAAGAAAAAGAGGGAGGAAAGGAAGAAGG